RNAcentral lists this ribosomal RNA (301 nucleotides) under uncultured bacterium. RNAcentral's name for it is "partial 16S ribosomal RNA". It matches the Rfam family "Bacterial small subunit ribosomal RNA", at positions 509 to 807 of the family's 1533-position model. The record is from RNAcentral.
CAGUCGCCGCGGUAAUACGUAGGGGGCAAGCGUUAUCCGGAAUUACUGGGUGUAAAGGGAGCGUAGACGGUUAAACAAGUCUGAAGUGAAAUGCCGGGGCUCAACCCCGGAGCUGCUUUGGGAACUGUAGAACUGGAGUGUCGGAGGGGUAAGCGGAAUUCCCAGUGUAGCGGUGAAAUGCGUAGAUAUUGGGAGGAACACCGGCGGCGAAGGCGGCUUACUGGACGACAACUGACGUUGAGGCUCGAAGGCGUGGGUAGCAAACAGGAUUAGAUACCCGCGUAGUCCCUGUCUCUUAUAC